Aegilops tauschii subsp. strangulata is the source of this 1523-nucleotide long non-coding RNA. RefSeq lists it as uncharacterized. The record is from RefSeq and is a predicted model, not a curated record. Lineage: Eukaryota; Viridiplantae; Streptophyta; Magnoliopsida; Poales; Poaceae.
AAAAAAAACCACCCCGCACAAACACCUCUCGUAUCGAUCCCCUCGAGGAGAAGCCGUCGCCCCCAUCUCCCGCUCUGCCGCCGCCGCCCCCCGCCUUACCGUAUCUCCCUCUCAGCCACCUCCACCACCCCCACGCUUCUCCCCAUCGCCGGAUCCGCUAUUAGAUCGCCAAGGUUAGGCGGCAGAGCUCCACGUCCGCGACGCGCUCGUGCUCGUCAAGGAAGGGGCUGCCGAUCGAAUCUGCGCUCACGCGGCUUGUGUGCCAUGGCCGCCAUGGCAUCCAUGGCCGACAAGAGGGGACCCUCGGCCUCGGCCAUGGCCGCCUGCUUUGGACACGGGCUGGUACUGCAUCUCUUCGGCGGAAGGCGAAAAGAAUGGCGGCGGCGGGCAAUAUGGGAGAAGACGGUGCCCUGCCUGACAACGGACUCGAAUUUCUACUGGAUCUGGUUGACAGUGAGGUGGUUGCGGACGUUGAGGUGCCAGAUCCGUUGGCGGCAAGGGACUUAGUGGAGACAGACAUGGCUGGCGCCGAUUCCUCAUGCGCGGUUGUGGUUGGGCACCUCGGCGGAGCUGCUGAGCCCCGGGAUUCUGGCGGCAAGAGGAAACAGUAGUCAACCCAGUCCGUGGAAUCGACCGGGAAAGUGAACCCGGAGGCGCCCAGGUCGACCAGAAGGUAAAAAGUAAAAUUAGAGUUCUGAAACUUUCAGACAGAAUGGUUUUGAUUUUUGCAAGCACUGUCACAUACUUGUGCAUGAGCAUAUAUGCCUGGUGCUGUGAUUACUCGUUUCAGCUGGGUAUCCUCGUGAUUUUUCUGGUCAUACUAAUGCGAAUUGGUGUUUCAUAUAUACGACUAGCCAAGAAGUUUUUAGAUGGAUCAUGUCAUAGAUGGACUAGCCAAGAUUGUUUUCAGAUGGAGUGACGAGUGGCACCUGCAGUUCUAAAGGAAAUGUUAGGAGCUUAUGCCCGUCAUUGGCUUGUCUCCCCUGGGCUAUGCAUCCAGCUCCAGCGGGUUCAGCACGACUGAGGCAGCAGUGGGAAGGAAGAUUAUUUGGUAGGAUGGCGCUGACAACAUAUCGGAGAUGCGCCAAGCCUUGCUGCGACCUAGCUUUCUUGUGCUUGCUCUCCUUCCCCAACAACAGACCAUCAUGGCCCUCCCUUUUGUUGUUCAUCAAUGGGGGUCAUGUUCACAUCAGAACCAUCAUCAGCACAAUCUUCAUGAAUUUUCCAUAUUUGUCAUAUCUCUCUGAUUGUCCAGUGCAGAUCAUGUUGUUAAAAAGUGAAACUUCUGGGUUGAUUUCAGGUUUAAGGCGUAAAGACUUUUUUAGGUUCUGUUCGUGCUGGAAAAUUUAUGUUCAUUGUCGCACCAAUCAUGUCGGAACCGAAUUUAUUUUCAUUGUUUCAGUCCAAUUCAUCCUUAGAGGGAAAGUGUGGGCCUUGAACUGAAGGAGAGGCAAAUAUGUUUCUAUUCAUAGUUAAAUUGGUUCUUGAUUUGAAGAGAUUAUAGAGCCACGUAAUUUUGUACC